RNAcentral lists this ribosomal RNA (468 nucleotides) under uncultured bacterium. Its description in RNAcentral is "partial 16S ribosomal RNA". It matches the Rfam family "Bacterial small subunit ribosomal RNA", at positions 28 to 507 of the family's 1533-position model. The record is from RNAcentral.
GACGAACGCUGGCGGCGUGCUUAACACAUGCAAGUCGAACGGAAAGGCCCUGCUUUUGUGGGGUGCUCGAGUGGCGAACGGGUGAGUAACACGUGAGUAACCUGCCCUUGACUUUGGGAUAACUUCAGGAAACUGGGGCUAAUACCGGAUAGGAGCUCCUGCUGCAUGGUGGGGGUUGGAAAGUUUCGGCGGUUGGGGAUGGACUCGCGGCUUAUCAGCUUGUUGGUGGGGUAGUGGCUUACCAAGGGUUUGACGGGUAGCCGGCCUGAGAGGGUGACCGGCCUCAUUGGGACUGAGAUACGGCCCAGACUCCUGCGGGAGGCAACAGUGGGGAAUAUUGCACAAUGGGCGAAAGCCUGGUGCAGCAACGCCGCGUGCGGGAUGACGGCCUUCGGGUUGUAAACCGCUUUCGCCUGUAACGAAGCGUGAGUGACGGUAAUGGGUAAAGAAGCACCGGCUAACUACGUG